GCAUUGGUGGUUCAGUGGUAGAAUUCUUGCUUUUCAUGUGAGAGACUUGAGUUUGAUCCCCAGCCAGUGCG
This 71-nucleotide transfer RNA is filed under the name Loxodonta africana (African savanna elephant). It matches the Rfam family "tRNA". Rfam says of the family: Transfer RNA (tRNA) molecules are approximately 80 nucleotides in length. Their secondary structure includes four short double-helical elements and three loops (D, anti-codon, and T loops). Further hydrogen bonds mediate the characteristic L-shaped molecular structure. tRNAs have two regions of fundamental functional importance: the anti-codon, which is responsible for specific mRNA codon recognition, and the 3' end, to which the tRNAs corresponding amino acid is attached (by aminoacyl-tRNA synthetases). tRNAs cope with the degeneracy of the genetic code in two manners: having more than one tRNA (with a specific anti-codon) for a particular amino acid; and 'wobble' base-pairing, i.e. permitting non-standard base-pairing at the 3rd anti-codon position. Lineage: Eukaryota; Metazoa; Chordata; Mammalia; Proboscidea; Elephantidae. The record is from Rfam by way of RNAcentral.